UAAAGGUAUAUUUAUUUGAUUUAUUUGAUCAUAUGAGAGAAAGCUGUAAUCGGAUUAGGAGAAAAAUAUUAAACUUCUACUGCUACUUACUGAGUACUUUUAAACACUUAGCAUUCACUG
This is a long non-coding RNA of Strigops habroptila (Kakapo), 120 nucleotides long. RefSeq lists it as uncharacterized. The record is from RefSeq and is a predicted model, not a curated record. The transcript is spliced from 3 exons. NCBI's taxonomy places the organism in Eukaryota, Metazoa, Chordata, Aves, Psittaciformes, Psittacidae.